GUUAACGUGUUUACUGUUGUUGAGAGGGAAGCUAGUUUUGGCCAGAAAUAAUUUUGUUUCUCGGGUUUCCUUUGUUUUACUUUACAUCUCGGGCUUGGAAGGUGGAAACCUCAGACAUAAUAAGAAAAGAAUACAGAAGAGAAUAUCCGGGCAGCUCCCUGCAGAAGUUAAAUGUGAAAAGAGCUAAAGAGGCGUGCAAGCAGGAGAGGACAGGAAGCAGAUACUGCCAUCAAAAAUCGUCUUUCUUGGGGUUCCUGGGAUCGUUGCCUCACAUGGCUCAGAGGCCCCGAAAAUCUCAAAGGGCCAGCUGGACCCUCACAAGCUCGAUGUGCUCAUAGGGAGUUGUUCCUAUUGGACUGCUACACUUUAAGCUUAACCAAAGCACAAACUCCCUGCAUCCAUGGCUAUUCAUUCUAGUGCCUUUGUGGGCCCUCCUCACCUGAGGGCCCUGCCCCACCCCCCAAGUCCUACGCCCCUAAA
Molecule: long non-coding RNA, 480 nt
Organism: Micropterus salmoides (largemouth bass)
Lineage: Eukaryota; Metazoa; Chordata; Actinopteri; Centrarchiformes; Centrarchidae
Exons: 3
Source: RefSeq, a predicted model, not a curated record